CCAUUCGUGCUAAAAAGAAGGCAAUAUCCAUUAUCAGUGUGCUUCGCAAUGAUGAUAAACAAGAGUUAGAGUCAGUCCUUAAACAAGGUGGGAAUAUAUUUUCCUAAGCAAGUGUUCUGCCAUGGACAACUAUAUGUGGCCCUAUCAAGAGUGACAAGCAAGGAAGGAUUGAAGGUGCUGAUCGAUGACAACUAUAAUUCUUCAUAG
Molecule: ribosomal RNA, 207 nt
Filed under: Triticum aestivum (bread wheat)
Lineage: Eukaryota; Viridiplantae; Streptophyta; Magnoliopsida; Poales; Poaceae
Description: partial small subunit ribosomal RNA
Source: RNAcentral